GGGCGUAUGGUGUAGUGGUAUCACUCAUGCUUUGCAAGAUUGCAUAUUCUUGUGUGAUUCCAAUGUAUGCGGUCCAGGGUUCAAACCCCUGUGCGUCCA
Mycena vulgaris is the source of this 99-nucleotide non-coding RNA. The record is from the annotation of a GenBank genome assembly. NCBI's taxonomy places the organism in Eukaryota, Fungi, Basidiomycota, Agaricomycetes, Agaricales, Mycenaceae.